AUUGAACGCUGGCGGCAUGCUUUACACAUGCAAGUCGAACGGCAGCGGGGAGGAGCUUGCUUCUCUGCCGGAGAGUGGCGAACGGGUGAGUCAUACAUAGGAACGUGCCGAGAGGAGGGGGAUAACUACGCGAAAGGGUGGCUAAUACCGCAUAAAUUCUGAGGAAGAAAGCUGGGGAGCUAGGAAUAGGCCUAGCGCUUUUUGUGCGGCCGAUGUCGGAUUAGCUAGUUGGUGAGGUAAAGGCUCACCAAGGCGAAGAUCUGUAGCGGAUCUGAGAGGAUGAUCGGCCACACUGGAACUGAGACACGGCCCAGACUCCUACGGGAGGCAGCAGUAGGGAAUUUUGCACAAUGGGCGCAACCCUGAUCCAGCCAUGCCGCGUGUGUGAUGAAGGUCUUAGGAUUGUAAAAUACUUUUAUUAGGGAAGAACAAAUGGCUAUGAAUAUAGGCUCAUACUGACGGUACCUAAAGAAUAAGCACCGGCUAACUACGUG
This 494-nucleotide ribosomal RNA is filed under the name uncultured bacterium. RNAcentral's name for it is "partial 16S ribosomal RNA". It matches the Rfam family "Bacterial small subunit ribosomal RNA", at positions 30 to 507 of the family's 1533-position model. The record is from RNAcentral.